RNAcentral lists this long non-coding RNA (3351 nucleotides) under Triticum aestivum (bread wheat). RNAcentral describes it as "long non-coding RNA (TAES_LNC008723)". Lineage: Eukaryota; Viridiplantae; Streptophyta; Magnoliopsida; Poales; Poaceae. The record is from RNAcentral.
UCAUAUGGUUGUGUCCUGGGAAUUGGGUGCUCCACUUAGUCUUUCCGCGCUCCAGCGAAGACUUCCCGCGAAGCCUGUGACGCCCCCGAUUUGACCGUACACUAAUCAUGCACGCAAAUGUGUACGAUCAAGAUCAGGGACUCACGAGAAGAUAUCACAACACAACUCUAAAACAUAAAUAAGUCAUACAAGCAUCAUAAUACAAGCCAGGGGCCUCGAGGGCUCGAAUACAAUUGCUCGAUCAUAGACGAGUCAGCGGAAGCAACAAUAUCUGAGUACAGACAUAAGUUAAACAAGUUUGCCUUAAGAAGGCUAGCACAAAAGUAGCAACGAUCGAAAAGGCAAGGCCUCCUGCCUGGGACCUCCUAGCUACUCCUCGAAGCCGAACUCCAUGUAGAAUCAUCCUCGGGAUCUCUAGCUCCUGGACUCCAGCAUCUGGUUGCGACAAUCCGGUAUAGAAAGGGGAAAAGAGGGAGAAAAGCAACCGUGAGUACUCAUCCAAAGUACUCGCAAGCAAGGAGCUACACUACAUAUGCAUGGGUAUAUGUGUAAAGGGGCAUAUCAGUGGACUGAACUGCAGAAUGCCAGAAUAAAAGGGGGAUAGCUAGUCCUGUCGAAGACUACGCUUCUAGUCAUCUCCAUCUUGCAGCAUGUAGAAGAGAGUAGAUUGAAGGCCUCCAAGUAGCAUCGCAUAGCAUAAUCCUACCCUGUGAUCCCCUCCUCGUCACCCUGUUAGAGAGCGAUCACCGGGUUGUAUCUGGCACUUGGAAGGGUGUAUUUUAUUCAGUAUCCAGUUCUAGUUGUCAUAAGGUCAAGGUACAACUCCGGGUCGUCCUUUUACCGAGGGACACGGCUAUUCGAAUAGAUAAACUUUCCUGCAAGGGUGCACCACAUAACCCAACACGCUCGAUCCCAUUUGGCCGGACACACUUUUCUGGGUCAUGCCCGGCCUCGUAAGAUCAACACGUCGCAGCCCCACCUAGGCUCAACAGAGAGGUCAGCACGCCGGUCUAAACCUAUGCGCGCAGGGGUCUGGGCCCAUCGCCCUAUGCACACCUGCACGUUGCGUACGCGGCCGGAAGCAGACCUAGCCCCCUUAAUACAAGCGCAAGCUUACGGUCCAAUGCGGCGCGCGCCACUCAGUUGCUGACGUCAAAAGAGUUUCGGCUGAUACCACGACGCCGGGAUACCCAUAACUACUCCCACGUAGAUGGUUAGUGCGUAUAGACCAAAUGGCCAGACUCAAAUCAAAUACCCAGAUCUCGUUAAGCGUGUUAAGUAUCUGCGAACACCGACCAGGGCCAGGCCCACCUCUCACCUAGGCGGUCUCAACCUGCCCUGUCGCUCCGCCACAAAGUAACAGUCGGGGGCCGUCAGGAACCCAGGCCCACCUCUACCGGGAUGGAGCCACCUGUCCUUUCAGCCCCCUCAUCAGAAUUACUUGCGGGUACUCCUCGAGCCGACCCGACUUUAGUCACCACAUGUGUCAUGUAUAUAAUGUAUAUAGUAUAUACUCGUGAUCACCUCCCAAAGUGAUCACGACCCAGUAGUAUAGCAUGGCAGACGGACAAGAGUGUAGGGCCACUGAUGGAACACUAGCAUCCUAUACUAAGCGGUAGGAUAGUAGGUAAGGGUAACAACUGUAGCAACAAUGACAGGCUAUGCAACAGAAUAGGAUUAACCGAAAACAGUAACAUGCUACACUACUCUAAUGCAAGCAGUAUAGAGAAGAAUAAGCGAUAUCUGGUGAUCAGGGGGGGGCUUGCCUGGUUGCUCAGACAAGAAGGAGGGGUCGUCAGUGACGUAGUCGACCACAGGGCAUCAGCAUCGUCACGGGGUCUACCGAAGAGAAGAGGGGGGGGGAGAAACAGUAAAUACAUAGUAAGCAAGUGCAUAACAGGACAACAGGCAGAGCUAGACGUGUUCUAACGCGGUAUGAGGUGAUACCGGUGAAGGGGGGAAACAUCCGGGAAAGUAUCCCCGGUGUUUCACGUUUUCGGACAAAUGAACCGGAGGUGAAAUGUUGCAGGUUCACUAUGCUAGGGACGCGUGGCGGACGAACGGACUGCGUAUUCGGAUUCGUCUCGUCCUUCUGAGCAACUUUCAUGUACAAAGUAUUUUCAUCUGACUUGCGGUUUAUUUUCUAUGAUUUUUUAAAUUUUAACAAAUAUUCUGAAUUUUUUGUAUUUAGUAAAAAUCUGAAUUGACCAAGUCAAACUUGACUAGUCAAAGGGGCAGGUGUGGCCCACAUGUAAGUGACAAGGGGCAAUUUAAUUAGUCUAAACCAAUUCAAACUAGUGGGGCCACAUGUCAUCUACACAUUAGGCUAUUUAUACCACUAAUCUAAUCCUAAACUACUCUAUCUCUAAUUAAUUAAGCCGGCCAGAGGCACAACCGGCUAUGCACAUUGAGCAUGCGCGCACGACCAUGGCCAAUCUGCCGCAACGGCCAACGAUAGCAUCAGGCAGCACUAAGCGGCAGCAGCAGAGGAAAAACUAGCGGCAAAGCAGUAGCGGGCAGCAGGCUCGGCAAGGAGCAGCAACAGGCAGCGGCAGGGGCGAGUUGCUGCAGGCAACAGUAGUACGCAGCAGCAGAAGCAAACAACGGGAAGCAGUGGCGGGAGCACAGCAGCGGGGGGGAAGAGGGGCUGGGCGCGGCCCACGGGCGCGCGUGCACAGGCGAGGGCGGCCAAGACGCGGCCCUGGGCGCGGUGGAGCCCGACGGGGAGGCACGCUGAGCGUGGCCAAGCGAGACAGGGGAGCGGCAGCGGGCGAGUGGCAAUAGGCAUGGCGCGAGCACGGGCGUGUGUGGGCGGACGAGCGCGUGCGUGGUCACGCGCGACGGGCGACGGCAGGAGGAGAAACACGAGCAGGGCUAGGAGUGGAUGUGUGCGGAUGCGGAACUCCGGCCAAGGCGGCCUCGGGCGGGCACGGGUCUACGGCGACAGAUCGACAGCGGGGCGAGGGGGUUAGGAAGGAGCAGCUCACUGUGAUGCAGAUGGUGAGGUCGGGGAGAGUCGGGGUUGACCGGAACGACGGUAAUCGAUGACGGACGACGACGACGUACGCGACGAAGUCUGGCUCGAUGGCGAGCGCACGGGCCACCUCGGCUCCGUUCCGUGUUCGGGACGGAUGAAGACGUCCAUGGCGGGCCUCCUGGACGUCCUCCCACGCGAAGGCGACGACGGUGGUCGUGGUAAUGACGAUGACGAGCGCGGUCACCGUGAGAGUUUCCAAGCUCGAAUUCGAGCGAAAGAAGAAGGGGGCGAAGAGGGAAAUAGGGGGGAAUGGACGAGGGCGACCUAGGGUUCGCGUUGGCGCAGUUAUAAGCGAAGGGGAUCGACGUGGCGGC